UGCAGUCGAGCGGAGACAGUGAGUAGCUUGCUAUGAGCUGUUUUAGCGGCGGACGGGUGAGUAACGCGUGAGCAACCUUUCCCAGACAGGGGAAUAACACACCGAAAGGUGUACUAAUACCGCAUAAGACCACGGGAUCACAUGGUUCUGAGGUAAAAGAUUUAUCGGUUUGGGGUGGGCUCGCGUCCGAUUAGGUAGUUGGUGAGGUAACGACCCACCAAGCCGACGAUCGGUAGCCGACCUGAGAGGGUGAUCGGCCACAUUGGGACUGAGACACGGCCCAAACUCCUACGGGAGGCAGCAGUGGGGAAUAUUGGGCAAUGGAGGAAACUCUGACCCAGCAACGCCGCGUGGAGGAAGAAGGUUUUCGGAUCGUAAACACCUGUCCUUGGAGACGAGUAGAAGACGGUAUCCAAGGAGGAAGCCCCGGCUAACUACGUGCCAGCAGCCGCGGUAAUACGUAGGGGGCAAGCGUUGUCCGGAAUAAUUGGGCGUAAAGGGCGCGUAGGCGGCUCGGUAAGUCUGGAGUGAAAGUCCUGCUUUUAAGGUGGGAAUUGCUUUGGAUACUGUCGGGCUUGAGUGCAGGAGAGGUUAGUGGAAUUCCCAGUGUAGCGGUGAAAUGCGUAGAGAUUGGGAGGAACACCAGUGGCGAAGG
RNAcentral lists this ribosomal RNA (655 nucleotides) under uncultured bacterium. Its description in RNAcentral is "bacterial SSU rRNA". It matches the Rfam family "Bacterial small subunit ribosomal RNA", at positions 56 to 721 of the family's 1533-position model. The record is from RNAcentral.